UGAAUCGCAAGAAACAUCUUCGGGUUGUGAGGUUAAGCGACUAAGCGUACACGGUGGUGCGAUAAGCGUCGGUGAGGUGAUAUGAACCGUUAUAACCGGCGAUUUCCGAAUGGGGAAACCCAGUGUGUUUCGACACACUAUCAUUAACUGAAUCCAUAGGUUAAUGAGGCGAACCGGGGGAACUGAAACAUCUAAGUACCCCGAGGAAAAGAAAUCAACCGAGAUUCCCCCAGUAGCGGCGAGCGAACGGGGAGGAGCCCAGAGCCUGAAUCAGUGUGUGUGUUAGUGGAAGCGUCUGGAAAGGCGUGCGAUACAGGGUGACAGCCCCGUACACAAAAAUGCACAUAUUGUGAGCUCGAUGAGUAGGGCGGGACACGUGGUAUCCUGUCUGAAUAUGGGGGGACCAUCCUCCAAGGCUAAAUACUCCUGACUGACCGAUAGUGAACCAGUACCGUGAGGGAAAGGCGAAAAGAACCCCGGCGAGGGGAGUGAAAAAGAACCUGAAACCGUGUACGUACAAGCAGUGGGAGCCUCUUAAUGGGGUGACUGCGUACCUUUUGUAUAAUGGGUCAGCGACUUAUAUUCUGUAGCAAGGUUAACCGAAUAGGGGAGCCGAAGGGAAACCGAGUCUUAACUGGGCGUUAAGUUGCAGGGUAUAGACCCGAAACCCGGUGAUCUAGCCAUGGGCAGGUUGAAGGUUGGGUAACACUAACUGGAGGACCGAACCGACUAAUGUUGAAAAAUUAGCGGAUGACUUGUGGCUGGGGGUGAAAGGCCAAUCAAACCGGGAGAUAGCUGGUUCUCCCCGAAAGCUAUUUAGGUAGCGCCUCGUGAAUUCAUCUCCGGGGGUAGAGCACUGUUUCGGCAAGGGGGUCAUCCCGACUUACCAACCCGAUGCAAACUGCGAAUACCGGAGAAUGUUAUCACGGGAGACACACGGCGGGUGCUAACGUCCGUCGUGAAGAGGGAAACAACCCAGACCGCCAGCUAAGGUCCCAAAGUCAUGGUUAAGUGGGAAACGAUGUGGGAAGGCCCAGACAGCCAGGAUGUUGGCUUAGAAGCAGCCAUCAUUUAAAGAAAGCGUAAUAGCUCACUGGUCGAGUCGGCCUGCGCGGAAGAUGUAACGGGGCUAAACCAUGCACCGAAGCUGCGGCAGCGACACUAUGUGUUGUUGGGUAGGGGAGCGUUCUGUAAGCCUGUGAAGGUGGCCUGUGAGGGUUGCUGGAGGUAUCAGAAGUGCGAAUGCUGACAUAAGUAACGAUAAAGCGGGUGAAAAGCCCGCUCGCCGGAAGACCAAGGGUUCCUGUCCAACGUUAAUCGGGGCAGGGUGAGUCGACCCCUAAGGCGAGGCCGAAAGGCGUAGUCGAUGGGAAACAGGUUAAUAUUCCUGUACUUGGUGUUACUGCGAAGGGGGGACGGAGAAGGCUAUGUUGGCCGGGCGACGGUUGUCCCGGUUUAAGCGUGUAGGCUGGUUUUCCAGGCAAAUCCGGAAAACCAAGGCUGAGGCGUGAUGACGAGGCACUACGGUGCUGAAGCGACAAAUGCCCUGCUUCCAGGAAAAGCCUCUAAGCAUCAGGUAACAUCAAAUCGUACCCAAAACCGACACAGGUGGUCAGGUAGAGAAUACCAAGGCGCUUGAGAGAACUCGGGUGAAGGAACUAGGCAAAAUGGUGCCGUAACUUCGGGAGAAGGCACGCUGAUAUGUAGGUGAAGCGACUUGCUCGUGGAGCUGAAAUCAGUCGAAGAUACCAGCUGGCUGCAACUGUUUAUUAAAAACACAGCACUGUGCAAACACGAAAGUGGACGUAUACGGUGUGACGCCUGCCCGGUGCCGGAAGGUUAAUUGAUGGGGUUAGCGGUAACGCGAAGCUCUUGAUCGAAGCCCCGGUAAACGGCGGCCGUAACUAUAACGGUCCUAAGGUAGCGAAAUUCCUUGUCGGGUAAGUUCCGACCUGCACGAAUGGCGUAAUGAUGGCCAGGCUGUCUCCACCCGAGACUCAGUGAAAUUGAACUCGCUGUGAAGAUGCAGUGUACCCGCGGCAAGACGGAAAGACCCCGUGAACCUUUACUAUAGCUUGACACUGAACAUUGAGCCUUGAUGUGUAGGAUAGGUGGGAGGCUUUGAAGUGUGGACGCCAGUCUGCAUGGAGCCGACCUUGAAAUACCACCCUUUAAUGUUUGAUGUUCUAACGUUGGCCCGUAAUCCGGGUUGCGGACAGUGUCUGGUGGGUAGUUUGACUGGGGCGGUCUCCUCCUAAAGAGUAACGGAGGAGCACGAAGGUUGGCUAAUCCUGGUCGGACAUCAGGAGGUUAGUGCAAUGGCAUAAGCCAGCUUGACUGCGAGCGUGACGGCGCGAGCAGGUGCGAAAGCAGGUCAUAGUGAUCCGGUGGUUCUGAAUGGAAGGGCCAUCGCUCAACGGAUAAAAGGUACUCCGGGGAUAACAGGCUGAUACCGCCCAAGAGUUCAUAUCGACGGCGGUGUUUGGCACCUCGAUGUCGGCUCAUCACAUCCUGGGGCUGAAGUAGGUCCCAAGGGUAUGGCUGUUCGCCAUUUAAAGUGGUACGCGAGCUGGGUUUAGAACGUCGUGAGACAGUUCGGUCCCUAUCUGCCGUGGGCGCUGGAGAACUGAGGGGGGCUGCUCCUAGUACGAGAGGACCGGAGUGGACGCAUCACUGGUGUUCGGGUUGUCAUGCCAAUGGCACUGCCCGGUAGCUAAAUGCGGAAGAGAUAAGUGCUGAAAGCAUCUAAGCACGAAACUUGCCCCGAGAUGAGUUCUCCCUGACUCCUUGAGRGUCCUGAAGGAACGUUGAAGACGACGACGUUGAUAGGCCGGGUGUGUAAGCGCAGCGAUGCGUUGAGCUAACCGGUACUAAUGAACCGUGAGGCUUAACC
This 2893-nucleotide ribosomal RNA is filed under the name Escherichia coli. RNAcentral describes it as "bacterial LSU rRNA". Lineage: Bacteria; Pseudomonadati; Pseudomonadota; Gammaproteobacteria; Enterobacterales; Enterobacteriaceae. The record is from RNAcentral.